This 440-nucleotide ribosomal RNA is filed under the name uncultured bacterium. Its description in RNAcentral is "partial 16S ribosomal RNA". It matches the Rfam family "Bacterial small subunit ribosomal RNA", at positions 338 to 795 of the family's 1533-position model. The record is from RNAcentral.
CCUACGGGAGGCAGCAGGGGGGAAUAUUGGACAAUGGGGGAAACCCUGAUCCAGCGACGCCGCGUGAGUGAAGAAGUAUUUCGGUACGUAAAGCUCUAUCAGCAGGAAAGAAAAUGACGGUACCUGACUAAGAAGCCCCGGCUAACUACGUGCCAGCAGCCGCGGUAAUACGUAGGGGGCAAGCGUUAUCCGGAUUUACUGGGUGGAAAGGGAGCGUAGACGGCAGCGCAAGUCUGGAGUGAAAUGCCGGGGCCCAACCCCGGAACUGCUCUGGAAACUGUGAAGCUGGAGUGCAGGAGAGGUAAGCGGAAUUCCUGGUGUAGCGGUGAAAUGCGUAGAUAUCAGGAGGAACACCGGCGGCGAAGGCGGCUUACUGGACUGUAACUGACGUUGAGGCUCGAAGGCGUGGGGAGCAAACAGGAUUAGAUACCCCGGUAGUC